UCCGUGGCUCAGAAAGUUUUCUUUCCGUCACAGGAUGCCAGGCGCGUCAUCAAUGCAACCCCUGGCUCCUCUGCCGUAGCGCCAUAGCCAUUUUCGCGAAGGCGAGAGAGGGAGCGAGAAGAAGAACAGGCGACCCGUCGCGCCAUGGAGUUCCUAAUGCAGCCAAUCCGCAGAUCUACGAAUUUUGAGGAGGUCGGAGAGAGCAUGGUGUCGGAAGGUUCGCCGGCAGUUGGGACAAGGCGAACGGCGGUGGAGGUGGCGCUGCACGACGGAAUAGUUUUGAGCGGGGACAAGCGGCUCUGCCCGUCGUCAGGAGCGGUAAUGUUGAGUGGCCAAGGACAAAUCUGCAGCGGUACGCCGGCGGCGGCUAUGAGCGGCGAAGAAUGAAUAUGCAGUGCGGUGCAAGCAGCAGCGGUGAGAAAGGAGAGCUCGCCUCCCACAUCUGAGCUGUCCACGGGCUCCUGGUUGGAAUAAGAGGUUGCGGAUUGGUGCUGCUGGCCCCAGCAAGGCGCCUUGCGCUACCCGUAUUGUUCGCCGAAAAGCCGACGGAUAAUGUAAUCACUGCAGUGCUGGGUACUACCUUUGACUCGCUUGGAUAAGCAUACGAUUUCUACAGCUUGUAUUCCUGGGAGAAAGGAUUUGAUAUAAGAUAUGGUAAAAGCCGGCUAAAUGUGGAGAGGAUGAAGUGCAUGCAGGAAAUUGUUUGCAUGAAGGGGAGCCUUGGCGCAGUGGUAAAGCUGCUGCCUUGUGACCAUGAGGUCAUGGGUUCAAGUCCUGGAAACAGCCUCUUACAGAAAUGUAGGGAAAGG
Molecule: long non-coding RNA, 809 nt
Organism: Triticum dicoccoides
Lineage: Eukaryota; Viridiplantae; Streptophyta; Magnoliopsida; Poales; Poaceae
Exons: 3
Source: RefSeq, a predicted model, not a curated record